Molecule: non-coding RNA, 1924 nt
Organism: Cinara cedri
Lineage: Eukaryota; Metazoa; Arthropoda; Insecta; Hemiptera; Aphididae
Source: the annotation of a GenBank genome assembly
CGGAAAAACAACAUUCGUAUUUUUAGGCUAAACACGAAAUGAUUGUAAUUAUUGUGUAAUGUGCAAUUUGGAUCUUCAGUGUUUAACUGUUAGUGUUAAUUUGAAUUAGUUAAAUUUGAAAUGAAACGAAAUACACUAGACUCCUUUUUUAAGCCACAACAAAAUCAGACAAAUAUUCAUGUGGAAAACAAAGACGUAAGUAAAAGAAAGUCGAUAAUAUUUAAUUAAUUAAUUAAUUAAUAUAAAUUAUUUCGUUUUUAAAACGUAUUUAUUAAUUAUUGUCUUUUUGAUUUUUGAACAAUCAAUUAGGUACCAGUGGAAAAAUUACUUUCGAAAAAAUCAGUGAUUAGCCCACAACCACCAAUAGUAAGAACUAAAAUCAAUUAAAUUAUUUAAGUCAAAUAAAAUUUGAAUUCAAAAUCUAAAUCGCAUAUUGUUAUGGUGUUAUACUUGUACUACCUGCAUAUUAGUAGAAGGCCUAGGGGAGACACUUAAUAUUUGUAUAAUUAUACAUCUAUAGAUUAUUGAUGGUAUAAAUAUUUUAUGAAAUACCUAUAUAUAUUAUGUCUUAUUGUUUUAAUUUGUCCUAGAUAUGAAAUGCUCCUGGUGAUAAUAUUAGUAAUAUUGAUGAAAGUGUAAAGGAUUCUGAGAUUUUUGUAGAUGUCAUUUCUUUAUUUAGUAAACAUCUAAAUCAUAAACAGAUGAGGAAAAACUAAAGGUAACAUUUAAUAUAGGUGGCUAAUUAAUUUAGACUUUGAGAGUUAAGAGAUUAUAUAUAUUUAUUAUAAAUAUUAUAAAUAAUUAAGAUGAAAUCAUAAACAAUUUCUAAUUUAUUUUUUUUUUUUUAAUAGGUUUUGAAACACAUUUGGGUUCCUCCUAACAAUUUUACUUUUCCAGUAAUAGAAAAUAAAAAAAAUUAAAUUAAAACUUCAGUCUUCAUAAAUGAAUUUAUUUCCUUGAUUAACAUGUUCAAAAAUUAUACGAGGUGAUUAUUGUAAAUAUUAUGUUGCAUUUUCCAAAUAUAGAGGAAUUGGAAAUCAACCACUUGGACAGCUCGUUAAUCCCUUUAUAAAUUAUAAAGAUGCUGUACAAGUAAAUAGUUUUAUUUGUUAAUAUGAAAAAUAUAAUUUGUAUUAUAUUUUAACUUCUAUAAUACAUAAUAAAUAGUUAUAUAUAUUUAUAUAUAAUACGAAAUCAUAAAAACUAGUAAAAUAAUAAGCUAUAUUAAAUUAUUAAAGAUUUCUGGGCUCAUGUUAAAAAAGUACCAUAUUGAUGCUGUGUUAGAUGCAGAAAAUUUUUUGGACGUCUUUGAAAAAAGAAAAUUGACAAUAGUACAACUAAUUGAUAAUAAUAGGUAAGUUAGCCAUUUUUGAUAUAUUUUGUACAUUUCUGUACUUAUAAAUUAUAUUUAUUAAAUUUCAAUAUUUAAUCAUUUAUAGAAUUAUUUAAAUACAAGAAAAUAAGAAAUGUUUGGUACCGAUUAUUCAAUAUAUCUUACUAUGUGGUCGAAAAGAUAUUUCUUUAAGACACCAUGAUCAUGGCCAAAUUGAUAUUAGUAGUAAUUGUAUACAUCUAUAUUUUGUAUAUUAAUUUAUAACAGUUAAAAAAACUCAAUUUUAAUCAUUUAGAUGAUAAGUGUAACGAAGGAAACUUGAAGGCUAUUUUAAAGUAUAGAGCUAAAGAGCAUGAUUAUCUAAUCUAAAAACAGUACUCGAAAGACCAGGUAAACAAAAUAAAUAAAUUAGUCCAGGAAUACAAAAUCAAGUCAUUGAAGCUUGCAACAAAAUCAUUUUAAAAAAAAAUUGUUGACAAAAUAAAUAUGUCUGUAUGUUUUUCUCUGAUGGUAGAUGAAACAGACAUUUCGACAACAGAAAUUAUCUAUUUGUGUGAGGUAUGUCAUUGGUAAAAAUAUACUAAAUGAAAG